UAGAAUAUUUAGCAAAGCAGUUGAAAAGCUGUGACGCAAAGCUAAAGGGCCUGUAAAAUGGUAGCCAGUUGCAUUU
This 76-nucleotide non-coding RNA is filed under the name Faecalibacterium prausnitzii. RNAcentral's name for it is "c-di-GMP sequence". It matches the Rfam family "c-di-GMP-I riboswitch aptamer". Rfam says of the family: GEMM was predicted in a large-scale screen for bacterial structured RNA regulatory elements. Genes associated with GEMM are involved in a diverse array of functions, including chemotaxis regulation, signal transduction, secretion and chitin. RNAcentral also lists the same sequence under 1 other name. Lineage: Bacteria; Bacillati; Bacillota; Clostridia; Eubacteriales; Oscillospiraceae. The record is from RNAcentral.